UACGUAGGGUGCGAGCGUUGUCCGGAAUUAUUGGGCGUAAAGGGCUCGUAGGCGGUUUGUCGCGUCGGGAGUGAAAACCCAGGGCUUAACUCUGGGCUUGCUUUCGAUACGGGCAGACUAGAGGUAUGCAGGGGAGAACGGAAUUCCUGGUGUAGCGGUGAAAUGCGCAGAUAUCAGGAGGAACACCGGUGGCGAAAGCGGGUCUCUGGGCCGAUACUGACGCUGAGGAGCGAAAGCGUGGGGAGCGAACAGG
Molecule: ribosomal RNA, 253 nt
Filed under: uncultured bacterium
Lineage: Bacteria
Description: partial 16S ribosomal RNA
Rfam family: Bacterial small subunit ribosomal RNA
Source: RNAcentral